This 598-nucleotide long non-coding RNA is filed under the name Gallus gallus (chicken). RNAcentral describes it as "lncRNA (ENSGALG00010006774.1)". The record is from RNAcentral. Lineage: Eukaryota; Metazoa; Chordata; Aves; Galliformes; Phasianidae.
CGCGCGGGCGGAGACGGCUGCGGUGUCGGGAACGGCCUCCUGCGCCCUGACACGAGCGCUGCGGCCCUCCCCGGUUAACGGGAGUUGGUUACGAAGAUGUCCGACGGGGAAGCCGGGGGGCGCUCGCUACGAGCAUUCCGGGCACAAGGACACAUGCUGCCUGUUAUACCACCACGGGAGAUGCAGAUAACAUCUUUUUGUGUAAAAAUCUAUCUUGGGAGCAAUGAGACAGCACCAUCUCCACAUCACACUGCUCUCCAUCCCAUGAUCGUUAAUUCAGAUUUCCAGGAACUUUAAGACAAGCCAAUUGGGCUCAAAUGACACUGAGAAACUACAGUGCACCAAUGGCAACAGGAUGCACCCUUUUGUACAAUAAACAGCCAUGAGGAUCACUUGCACUUUUUGCUCUAUAACCCCAGGCCAUGAGUCUGUUAUUAAAACCUAUUAAGAGCAUGCUUGUCAAUAAAAGCCCAUGAAAGAAUGCCUGUGUUCUAUGCUAGAAUAAUAAUAAAAAAAAAAAGCAGAAUUUUGUAAAGUGUUUUCUGUCCAUCAGCACAUUUUCAUCUGCUCUGACACUCAAGGUUCCUUCAUCUUCCCC